AAGUAGGGGAUCGCAAGACCUUGCGCUUUUGGAGCGGCCGAUGCCUGAUUAGCUAGUUGGUGGGGUAAUGGCCUACCAAGGCGACGAUCAGUAGUUGGUCUGAGAGGACGACCAGCCACACUGGGACUGAGACACGGCCCAGACUCCUACGGGAGGCAGCAGUGGGGAAUUUUGGACAAUGGGCGAAAGCCUGAUCCAGCGAUGCCGCGUGAGUGAAGAAGGCCUUCGGGUUGUAAAGCUCUUUCAGUCGAGAAGAAAAGGUUGUGACUAAUAAUCACAACUCAUGACGGUAUCGACAGAAGAAGCACCGGCUAACUACGUGCCAGCAGCCGCGGUAAUACGUAGGGUGCGAGCGUUAAUCGGAAUUACUGGGCGUAAAGGGUGCGCAGGCGGCUUUGUAAGUCAGAUGUGAAAUCCCCGGGCUUAACCUGGGAAUUGCGUUUGAAACUACAAAGCUAGAGU
RNAcentral lists this ribosomal RNA (462 nucleotides) under uncultured ammonia-oxidizing beta proteobacterium. RNAcentral describes it as "bacterial SSU rRNA". It matches the Rfam family "Bacterial small subunit ribosomal RNA", at positions 194 to 647 of the family's 1533-position model. Lineage: Bacteria; Pseudomonadati; Pseudomonadota; Betaproteobacteria. The record is from RNAcentral.